Small nuclear RNA from Nomascus leucogenys (northern white-cheeked gibbon), 104 nucleotides. The record is from Ensembl. Lineage: Eukaryota; Metazoa; Chordata; Mammalia; Primates; Hylobatidae.
GUGCUGGCUUCAGCGGCACAGGUGCUAACAUUGGAGCAAUACAGAGAUUAGCGUGGCUGCUGUGCAAGCAUGACACGCAAACUCAUAAAGCAUUCUUUUAAUUU